AUGCUUAACACAUGCAAGUCGAACGGAAACGAUGGAAGCUUGCUUCCAGGCGUCGAGUGGCGGACGGGUGAGUAAUGCUUGGGAAUCUGCCUAAUAGUGGGGGAAAACUCGGGGAAACUCGGGCUAAUACCGCAUAAUCUCUUCGGAGGAAAGGGGGCCUCUACAUGUAAGCUCUCGCUAAUAGAUGAGCCCAAGUCAGAUUAGCUUGUUGGUGAGGUAAAAGCUCACCAAGGCUACGAUCUGUAGCUGGUCUGAGAGGACGAUCAGCCACACUGGGACUGAGACACGGCCCAGACUCCUACGGGAGGCAGCAGUGGGGAAUAUUGCACAAUGGGCGCAAGCCUGAUGCAGCAAUGCCGCGUGUGUGAAGAAGGCCUUAGGGUUGUAAAGCACUUUCAAUAGAGAAGAAAAGCUUAGAGUUAAUAACUCUAAGCAUUGACGUAACCUAUAGAAGAAGCACCGGCUAAAUCCGUGCCAGCAGCCGCGGUAAUACGGAUGGUGCGAGCGUUAAUCGGAAUUACUGGGCGUAAAGCGUACGUAGGCUGUUUUAUAAGUCGGAUGUGAAAUCCCCGGGCUCAACCUGGGAACUGCAUCCGAAACUAUUUAACUAGAGUAUGGGAGAGGUAAGUAGAAUUUCCGGUGUAGCGGUGAAAUGCGUAGAUAUCUGAAGGAACACCAGUGG
RNAcentral lists this ribosomal RNA (682 nucleotides) under uncultured bacterium. RNAcentral describes it as "bacterial SSU rRNA". It matches the Rfam family "Bacterial small subunit ribosomal RNA", at positions 44 to 715 of the family's 1533-position model. The record is from RNAcentral.